Molecule: unclassified non-coding RNA, 241 nt
Filed under: uncultured Tricholomataceae
Lineage: Eukaryota; Fungi; Basidiomycota; Agaricomycetes; Agaricales; Tricholomataceae
Description: sequence contains ITS1
Source: RNAcentral
CUGAAGAGAUGAUAAGAGUUGUUUUUGAGCUGACUCUCAGGAGUAUGUGCUCGCUCUAUCGCUUUCUCUACUCUCCACUGUGCACCUGUUGUAGGCUACGAUCUUUCAGCUCGAAAGGGUUGAAUUUCAGAGGGCUUUAGUAGUUCAUUUGCUUGACCUCGACUUCGUAGCCUAUGUCUUACAUACACUCUGUCAAAGUAUAUGAAUGUGUAUUGUUGGUCUUUGACCGAUAAACUAUAUA